UACAGGGGGUGCAAACGUUGCUCGGAAUCAUUGGGCGUAAAGCGCACGUAGGCGGUUCGUUAUGUCGGAUGUGAAAGCCCUUGGCUUAACCGAGGAAGUGCAUCCGAAACUGGCGAGCUAGAGUACGAAAGAGGAUCGCGGAAUUCCCGGUGUAGAGGUGAAAUUCGUAGAUAUCGGGAGGAACACCAGUGGCGAAGGCGGCCACCUCGGAGCGGACACUGACGCUGAGACGGCGAAAGCGUGGGGAGCAAACAGG
RNAcentral lists this ribosomal RNA (256 nucleotides) under uncultured bacterium. RNAcentral describes it as "partial 16S ribosomal RNA". It matches the Rfam family "Bacterial small subunit ribosomal RNA", at positions 524 to 776 of the family's 1533-position model. The record is from RNAcentral.